This 855-nucleotide ribosomal RNA is filed under the name Microdochium neoqueenslandicum. RNAcentral's name for it is "eukaryotic LSU rRNA". It matches the Rfam family "Eukaryotic large subunit ribosomal RNA", at positions 55 to 937 of the family's 3401-position model. The record is from RNAcentral. Lineage: Eukaryota; Fungi; Ascomycota; Sordariomycetes; Xylariales; Microdochiaceae.
GGAAAAGAAACCAACAGGGAUUGCCCUAGUAACGGCGAGUGAAGCGGCAACAGCUCAAAUUUGAAAUCUGGCCUUCUGGUCCGAAUUGUAAUUUGUAGAGGAUGCUUUUGGUUAGGUACCUUCCGAGUUCCUUGGAACAGGACGCCUUAGAGGGUGAGAGCCCCGUACGGUUGGAUACCGAGCCUCUGUAAAGCUCCUUCGACGAGUCGAGUAGUUUGGGAAUGCUGCUCUAAAUGGGAGGUAAAUUUCUUCUAAAGCUAAAUAUUGGCCAGAGACCGAUAGCGCACAAGUAGAGUGAUCGAAAGAUGAAAAGCACUUUGAAAAGAGGGUUAAAUAGUACGUGAAAUUGUUGAAAGGGAAGGGCUUAUGACCAGACCUUUGCCUUGCGAAUCAUCCGGUGUUCUCACCGGUGCACUUCGCUUGGUUGAGGCCAGCAUCAGUUCUGGCAGUGGGAUAAAGACUUUAGGAAUGUGACUCCCCCGGGAGUGUUAUAGCCUAUUGUGUAAUACCAUUGCUGGGACUGAGGACCGCGCUUCGGCUAGGAUGCUGGCAUAAUGGUCAUCAGCCACCCGUCUUGAAACACGGACCAAGGAGUCGAACAUUUAUGCGAGUUUUUGGGUGUUAAACCCUCAAGCGUAAUGAAAGUGAACGGAGGUGAGAGCCCUUACGGGUGCAUCAUCGACCGAUCCUGAUGUCUUCGGAUGGAUUUGAGUAAGAGCAUAACUGUUCGGACCCGAAAGAUGGUGAACUAUGCGUGGAUAGGGUGAAGCCAGAGGAAACUCUGGUGGAGGCUCGCAGCGGUUCUGACGUGCAAAUCGAUCGUCAAAUCUGCGCAUGGGGGCGAAAGACUAAUCG